UGGAUUCAGACUUUGAUCAUGGCUCAGGAUGAACGCUAGCUACAGGCUUAACACAUGCAAGUCGAGGGGCAGCGGGAUUGAAGCUUGCUUCAAUUGCCGGCGACCGGCGCACGGGUGAGUAACGCGUAUCCAACCUUCCGUACACUCAGGGAUAGCCUUUCGAAAGAAAGAUUAAUACCUGAUAGUAUCUUAAGCACACAUGUAAUUAAGAUUAAAGAUUUAUCGGUGUACGAUGGGGAUGCGUUCCAUUAGGUAGUAGGCGGGGUAACGGCCCACCUAGCCAACGAUGGAUAGGGUUCUGAGAGGAAGGUCCCCCACAUUGGAACUGAGACACGGUCCAAACUCCUACGGGAGGCAGCAGUGAGGAAUAUUGGUCAAUGGACGAGAGUCUGAACCAGCCAAGUAGCGUGAAGGAUGAAGGUCCUACGGAUUGUAAACUUCUUUUAUAAGGGAAUAAACCCUCCCACGUGUGGGAGCUUGUAUGUACCUUAUGAAUAAGCAUCGGCUAAUUCCGUGCCAGCAGCCGCGGUAAUACGGAGGAUGCGAGCGUUAUCCGGAUUUAUUGGGUUUAAAGGGAGCGCAGACGGGUCGUUAAGUCAGCUGUGAAAGUUUGGGGCUCAACCUUAAAAUUGCAGUUGAUACUGGCGUCCUUGAGUGCGGUUGAGGUGUGCGGAAUUCGUGGUGUAGCGGUGAAAUGCUUAGAUAUCACGAAGAACUCCGAUUGCGAAGGCAGCACACUAAUCCGUAACUGACGUUCAUGCUCGAAAGUGUGGGUAUCAAACAGGAUUAGAUACCCUGGUAGUCCACACGGUAAACGAUGGAUACUCGCUGUUGGCGAUGUACUGUCAGCGGCUUAGCGAAAGCGUUAAGUAUCCCACCUGGGGAGUACGCCGGCAACGGUGCAACUCAAA
Molecule: ribosomal RNA, 911 nt
Filed under: uncultured Bacteroidota bacterium
Lineage: Bacteria; Pseudomonadati; Bacteroidota
Description: bacterial SSU rRNA
Rfam family: Bacterial small subunit ribosomal RNA
Source: RNAcentral